CCUACGGAGGCAGCAGUGGGGAAUAUUGGACAAUGGGGGGAACCCUGAUCCAGCCAUGCCGCGUGUGUGAAGAAGGCCCUCGGGUUGUAAAGCACUUUCAGUGAGGAAGAACGCCUGGUGGUUAAUACCCAUCAGGAAAGACAUCACUCACAGAAGAAGCACCGGCUAACUCCGUGCCAGCAGCCGCGGUCAUACGGAGGGUGCGAGCGUUAAUCGGAAUUACUGGGCGUAAAGCGCGCGUAGGUGGCUUGAUAAGCCGGUUGUGAAAGCCCCGGGCUCAACCUGGGAACGGCAUCCGGAACUGUCAAGCUAGAGUGCAGGAGAGGAAGGUAGAAUUCCCGGUGUAGCGGUGAAAUGCGUAGAGAUCGGGAGGAAUACCAGUGGCGAAGGCGGCCUUCUGGACUGACACUGACGCUGAGGUGCGAAAGCGUGGGUAGCAAACAGGAUUAGAUACCCCGGUAGUC
Molecule: ribosomal RNA, 464 nt
Filed under: Vreelandella stevensii
Lineage: Bacteria; Pseudomonadati; Pseudomonadota; Gammaproteobacteria; Oceanospirillales; Halomonadaceae
Description: partial 16S ribosomal RNA
Rfam family: Bacterial small subunit ribosomal RNA
Source: RNAcentral